This 4975-nucleotide unclassified non-coding RNA is filed under the name Homarus americanus (American lobster). RNAcentral's name for it is "calcium-dependent secretion activator-like, transcript variant X14". The record is from RNAcentral. Lineage: Eukaryota; Metazoa; Arthropoda; Malacostraca; Decapoda; Nephropidae.
AUCGAUAGCAAACUGGAGCUCCCGCCAUAUUGUGGUGCGAGUGAAUAUCUGUGCAUUACUUCAGAGUGUGCGGUAGUGAGCGGUUGUCAGCGGUGUCGGUAUUCCGCUGUGUCGAGUGUAUUCUUUCCCUGUGUUGGCUGAGAACGGUGUACACAAGCCCCUGAGAGUGUGAAUUGGAUGUGUAAUUCGAAGAAAAAGUUGGUCGUCUGCUAACUGCAAACUACGCGGAAAAAUAAGGACGCGGGUCAACUGCUGAAGGUAGUGCCGGGACACACACCGUCACCAUUAUGCUGGAACCGAGCAGUUCAGAGGAGGAAUCUGACGAUGGGGUGCAGGAGAAACCCGUCGGACGUGGCCACUCUUCCCGUUCCGAUGGUGCUAGCAGUCACGAUACACACGUUCCCGAUGGCGCGACAAGCACUGCUCCUUCCCUGCAGGUUCCUGGAGUACCCACCUCCCUCCCCAGUAAACACGGACAAAGGCGAGCCAGCAUAAGGGCGGGACAAGGGUAUGACACUAGAAGUAAUUCACCAUCAAGUACUCUCAGUGUGGACACGCUGAGUGUUGGCGGGGGAUCGAGGGCCAACUCACUCCCAAGGCCGACCUCUCCCUCGCCCUCCGUGAUGAGCGACAAGACAAUGACGCAGGAAGACCCUGCGGAGAAACAAGAACGGGAGGAGGAGGAGCGUAAAAAGAGGCUACAGUUGUACGUGUUCAUCCUGCGGUGCAUCUCUUACCCUUUCAACGCCAAGCAGCCCACCGACAUGACCAAGAGACAGAUUAAAGUCAGCAAACACCAGCUAGACACCAUUCAGGGCCGCUUCCAGAGUUUUCUGAAGGGAGAGCUACAAAUUGCGGCAGACGAGGCCUUCACUAACGCAGUACAGAGCUACCAUGAAGUUUUCCUAAAAAAUGAACGGCUGGCAUCCAUGGUGUUGUCGGGCGCCUGCUCCCAACAUGACUUACGGGAGGUGUUCAAGCAUAACGUAGAGAAGAGAGUCAGAUCCUUACCGGAAAUAGAUGGGCUGAGCAAAGAGACCGUUCUCACAUCCUGGAUGGCCAAGUUUGAUAUGAUCAUCAAAGGUGAAGAGGACAGUAAACGACCUGGCAGGAUGCAGCAGACCCUCAACAGUGAACUCAUCAUGCCUAAAGAACAGCUCUUUGAUAUGUUCCAGCAGAUCCUUGGCAUCAAGAAAUUUGAGCAUCAGCUUCUGUUUAAUGCAUUACAGCUGGACAGUCAGGAUGAACAAGCAGCUGCCAUCCGUAGAGAACUGGAUGGUCGUAUGCAGAAGGUUGCAGAAUUAGAACGGGAGUUAGAAGGUCUUAAGAGAGAUCCGGAAAACCGUAAGCUGAUGCCCAAGUUUGUGGUGAAGGAGAUGGAGUCCCUUUACUUAGAGGAACUCAAGACGUCUAUUAACCUGUUGAUGGCCAAUCUAGAAAGUCUCCCUGUGUCGAAAGGUUCACAGGAGGGCAAAUAUGGUUUACAAAAGCUUAAAAAGUACAAUCACAGGUCAGAUGGGAGCAUGGAAAAUCUAUCUCUUAGUAGACGUAAAAGAUACAAAGUUUUCGAGUACCUGUCCCCAAAACUAAGCAGGUCUCAGAGCUCGUUAAGUGGUCGAGAUAGUGACAGUAUGGACAACGAGGUCACGCUAUCCAAGAUGGAUGUUGUCCUGUCAUUUGUAUUAGAGGUAUUGGUCAUGGAGGUUCGAGAAAUCAAGCACUUACCGGCCAACAGAAUUGUGUAUUGUACCAUGGAGGUGGAGGGAGGUGAGAAGUUGCAGACAGACCAAGCAGAGGCAUCAAAACCAAUGUGGGACACACAAGGUGACUUCACCACAACACACCCGUUGCCUGCUGUUAAAAUUAAGCUCUACACAGAAUCAGCCUCUGUGCUCUCUCUUGAUGACAAGGAGUUGGGCAAGGUUGUUUUACAUCCCACAGCGCUUUCACCUAAGAUACCUGAAUGGUACAAGAUGCAAGUACCAAAAAAUUCUUCAGAAAAUAACCUUAGAAUUAAGAUUACAGUUAGAAUGGAUAAACCACAGAAUCUUAAACACUGUGGUUAUCUGUAUGCUCUAGGAAAAAGCUGUUGGAAGAAGUGGAAAAAACGGUAUUUCUGUCUAGUCCAAGUAUCACAAUACACAUUUGCUAUGUGUAGCUACAGAGAGAAAAAAAGCGAACCAACGGAGAUGAUGCAGCUAGAUGGUUACACCGUUGACUAUAUUGAACCUGUGUCAGCUCAGCUUAUGGUUGGAAUGGAUCUGGAAGGUGGAAGAUUUUUCUUUAAUGCCGUAAGAGAGGGUGAGUCCAUAUUGUAUGCCACUGAAGAUGAGAAUGAGUCUCAUCAAUGGGUGACUGCACUUUAUCGGGCUACAGGUCAAGCUCACAAACCAACUCCACCAGUAAUGCCUCAAGGAAAAAAUUCCACGUUAUCCAAAAUACAGGGAGACGCAGACAAAGCGAAGAAACAUGGUAUGGAUGAAUAUAUUAGUGCCGAUCCCGUUAGAUUUGAUCACCACAACCUUUAUAGAGUACUACAAGCUCAAACACUUGAAUACCGUCUUGUUGAUCCCUACUGUUCUCUGGGAUGGUUCAGUCCUGGUCAAAUUUUUGUAUUAGAUGAGUACCAGGCUCGGUAUGGUGUACGCGGCUGUUAUAGACAUCUUUGUUAUUUGGAAGACCUCCUAGACCGAGCAGAGAAGGGCCAGAUGAUUGACCCAACUCUCAUCCACUACUCCUUUGCCUUCUGUGCCUCCCACGUUCAUGGAAACAGUCAUCAAACUGUAAGCCCCGCCGAAGAUGGGACGGUGACAGUAGGCCAAGAACAAACUCAAGGCCAAAUAGCCCCUAACGUACCAUUUCCAACAAGACCCGAUGGCGUGGGUACCGUCCUGGCAGAAGAGAAGGAGCGCUUCCAGGUUAUUAAGGAGAGGUUAAGAGUCUUACUAGAACACCAGAUUACAAAUUUCAUGUAUUGCUUCCCAUUUGGUCGACCAGAAGGUGCCCUUAAAGCCACAUUAUCCUUACUUGAGCGGGUGCUGAUGAAGGAUAUAGUGACGCCCGUGCCGCCCGAAGAGGUGAGAGGCAUGAUCAAAAAGUGCCUAGAAAAUGCUGCUCUCCUCAACUAUACUCGUCUUUCUGCCGAAACCAAAAUUGAGGGUGGAGAAACUACCCUUCAAGAGGACCUUAGUGGUGAGAAUGCAGUGUCUGCUGGCAGGAAGUUGGAUGACCUCAUUCACCUGGCUGAGUUGUGUGUUGACCUCUUGCAGCAGAAUGAGGAACACCAUGCAGAGGCUUUCAGAUCGGAUAAAGCAUUUGCAUGGUUCAGCGACCUGUUGGUGGAACAUGCAGAGAUCUUCUGGUCCCUGUUUGCUGUAGAUAUGGAUCAAGUUUUGGCUGAACAACCACCCGAUACCUGGGACUCCUUCCCGCUCUUCCAGAUACUCAAUGACUACCUAAGAACAGAUGACAACCUAAAAAAUGGACGAUUUCACCAACAUCUCAGAGAGACGUUUGCACCGAUGGUAGUUCGAUACGUGGACCUGAUGGAAUCCUCGAUAGCUCAGUCCAUUCACAAGGGCUUCGAGAAGGAACGGUGGGAGAAUAAGGGAAAUGGCUGUGCAACAUCAGAAGAUCUCUUCUGGAAACUGGAUGCCUUACAGUCUUUUAUUCGGGACCUUCACUGGCCUGACCAUGACUUUGCAAAACAUCUAGAGCAAAGAUUAAAGUUGAUGGCGUGUGACAUGAUUGAGUCAUGUAUUACCCGAACAGACCAAGCAUUCCAACAGUGGCUAAAGAAAGGAACUGGCUUUGUUUCUACAGACUAUGUACUGCCAUCUGAGAUGUGUGCAAUGGUCAAUGUUAUUCUUGAUGCCAAGAAUCAGUCUUUCAAACUUUGUGCAGUAGAUGGAGUUGAUGUGCAUCAGUACCACACCAAGAUUGAUGACCUGAUUGAGAGAACGAGUAGCUCUAUGACCCAAGGAAUGGUGGCUAAGCUAAUAUCAGUACUGGAGUCUGUCAUCUCUAAACUAAGUAGAUAUGAUGAGGGAAGCUUCAUCGGGUCAAUUCUUUCAUUCACGUAUCAGCAGAAUGUGAGUGGAUCAGGAAAGGAGCUAGGAAAAGCAUAUAUCAACUUUGCCAGAAACUCCAUGGACCAAAUCAGGCAAAAGGUUAAUGAUGAACUCUGGAUUCUCAACUUAUUUGAGCAGUGGUAUGCCGCACAGGUGACAAUGUUAUGUACAUGGCUGAGCGAAAGACUAGAUCAUAACCUCCAUCCAUACCAAUGUACUUGUCUCGCCCAUAUUGUUAAGCUCAUAUUCUCAGAUUUCACAGCGUAUGGGCUAGGUCACGAACAGACUGGGGUACAGGCCUACGUAGUGGUGAGUCAGCGAGUGGAGGCAGAACAUCAGCGACUCGUACGAGGCGGCAAACUCAAGGAAUAAGUCAUCCCUUCCCACCGUCAAAAACGUGUCCCGUGUUGUUGUCUUAGGCUUUGGCUCUUUUUAUGGCAGGAUGAGUGUUUAAAUAUCUGUUAAGUUUUGAGAAAAACUGAUAAUGUAUAUAGAAUAAAUGGACUUCUACCUCAAAGAUUGAUAAAAGUGAUAUUUUAGACUGAAAGACAAAAGUAUACAUAAAAAUGUAAUCCAGUAAAUUAACUUCAACUUUAUCUAAGAUUUUCUUCAUAAAGAAGUCUUGGUAAAAGCAUCAGAUAUUUGAUAAAAAGAUGCAAAGAAAAUGUUAUAGAAGAGGUUCAAGUAUUAACAGCAGUUUAAACACUCUACCUGAACACAGACUAUGACUUCCCUUUGGCCCCUGGAAGUCGCUCGAACUACUGUGGAGAAGGUGGCCGCUGACGACCUACUUUACAUGUAAAAUUUAUACGGACUUCGAGCUACAAGGAAUAAUGGAGGAAAAGCUAAACACCAAAACUUAUCAAACAAUCAGUCAGCGAAUGACCACUGAGGAAGCUGCCUGU